AGCAGUCGCCGCGGGAAUACGGAGGGAGCUAGCGUUGUUCGGAAUUACUGGGCGUAAAGCGCACGUAGGCGGCUUUGUAAGUUAGAGGUGAAAGCCUGGAGCUCAACUCCAGAACUGCCUUUAAGACUGCAUCGCUUGAAUCCAGGAGAGGUGAGUGGAAUUCCGAGUGUAGAGGUGAAAUUCGUAGAUAUUCGGAAGAACACCAGUGGCGAAGGCGGCUCACUGGACUGGUAUUGACGCUGAGGUGCGAAAGCGUGGGGAGCAAACAGGAUUAGAUACCCCGGUAGUCCCUGUCUCUUAUAC
This 303-nucleotide ribosomal RNA is filed under the name uncultured bacterium. Its description in RNAcentral is "partial 16S ribosomal RNA". It matches the Rfam family "Bacterial small subunit ribosomal RNA", at positions 507 to 807 of the family's 1533-position model. The record is from RNAcentral.